Molecule: unclassified non-coding RNA, 733 nt
Filed under: Hevea brasiliensis (rubber tree)
Lineage: Eukaryota; Viridiplantae; Streptophyta; Magnoliopsida; Malpighiales; Euphorbiaceae
Source: RNAcentral
GCAAUGAGAAAUGUGCUUUCAAAUAUAAUCAAAGAUGAUAAGUCGUGCUUGUUCAGCUGUAUUUACAGAGCACCAAUUUACAAACAUUACGUGAAUCCUGAUAAUCAAUAAUAGUAGACUUCAGUAAUAACAGGAUCAAAUUGCAAUUUACAAAUAGGACAUGAAAUGACACUGAUAACAGCAAUUAUUAUUAUUACCAGCAUCAAAGUGAGAAACCGCACAGUCCAUGGCGUUUUACGCACUAAAGCCCCUGUGGAGGGAACUCCAAAUAUUGGAAGGGAUGCUAGGACAAGCUUGUGCUGAUGCCUCCACCAUCUGCUCCAUCUGAAUUCCAGCAUUGCAGAUAUUGGCAAUGGAACGCAUGUGUUUCAUUCCAUAUUGGGAUAACGAUCCGCAGUGCGACUCAAAUGUUCUUACAAAAGAUUUAAGGCAGGCCCAAUCAUCAACAAGAGGCUGACCCGCAGAUCGAACAUGCUUCAGCACCUCAGGACCUUUUUGAAUUCCAAACAGAAGCUUACCAACAAGGGCAAUGCGUUCAUCUAGGUGCAUUCUGUGUGACAUAGCUUCAGUGAAUUGUUUCUGAGCUUCAACUUUCCGAGCAGAGCCUUCAGGAGCCUUGCGGAACUUGUCCCAGAAAUGUAAAAGAUCUGCAUCACGCUGGUUGACAGCCUUUGAUGAUGCCAACAAGGAAUUGUCAUCUACAUAAGUGUAGUUAUCAUUUGCAGGAUUUGUA